UACGAAGGGGGCUAGCGUUGCUCGGAAUUACUGGGCGUAAAGCGCACGUAGGCGGCUUUCUAAGUCGGGGGUGAAAUCCUGGAGCUCAACUCCAGAACUGCCUUCGAUACUGGAGAGCUCGAGUCCGGGAGAGGUGAGUGGAACUGCGAGUGUAGAGGUGAAAUUCGUAGAUAUUCGCAAGAACACCAGUGGCGAAGGCGGCUCACUGGCCCGGU
This 215-nucleotide ribosomal RNA is filed under the name uncultured bacterium. Its description in RNAcentral is "partial 16S ribosomal RNA". It matches the Rfam family "Bacterial small subunit ribosomal RNA", at positions 524 to 738 of the family's 1533-position model. The record is from RNAcentral.